RNAcentral lists this ribosomal RNA (279 nucleotides) under uncultured bacterium. RNAcentral's name for it is "partial 16S ribosomal RNA". It matches the Rfam family "Bacterial small subunit ribosomal RNA", at positions 506 to 784 of the family's 1533-position model. The record is from RNAcentral.
UGCCAGCAGCCGCGGUAACACGGGGGGCGCAAGCGUUAUUCGGAAUUAUUGGGCGUAAAGGGCGCGUAGGCGGCCUGAUAAGUCAGAUGUGAAAGCCCGGGGCUCAACCCCGGAAGUGCAUUUGAAACUGUCUGGCUUGAGUAUGGUAGAGGGAAGUGGAAUUCCUGGUGUAGCGGUGAAAUGCGUAGAUAUCAGGAGGAACACCGGUGGCGAAGGCGACUUCCUGGACCAAUACUGACGCUGAGGCGCGAAAGCUAGGGGAGCAAACGGGAUUAGAUA